GACGAACGCUGGCGGCGUGCUUAACACAUGCAAGUCGAACGGGCCUUGUCCCCUUUUUUUUGGGGGUGGGGUUAGUGGCGAACGGGUGAGUAACACGUGAGUAACCUGCCCCUCACUUCUGGAUAACCGCUUGAAAGGGUGGCUAAUACGGGGUGUUCUGGCCUGCUCGCAUGGGUGGGUUUGGAAAGAUUCGACCGGUUUUGGUUGUUUUGGUGGGGGAUGGGCUCGUGGCCUAUCAGCUUGUUGGUGGGGUGAUGGCCUGCCAAGGCUUUGACGGGUAGCCGGCCUGGGAGGGUGGGCGGUCACACUGGGACUGAGACACGGCCCAGACUCCUACGGGAGGCAGCAGUGGGGAAUAUUGCACAAUGGGCGCAAGCCUGAUGCAGCGACGCCGCGUGAGGGAUGGAGGCCUUCGGGUUGUGAACCUCUUUCGCCAGUGAAGAAGGUCCUGCUCUUUGUGGUGGGGUUGACGGUAGCUGGGUUAAUGAAGCGCCGGCUAACUACGUG
Molecule: ribosomal RNA, 507 nt
Filed under: uncultured bacterium
Lineage: Bacteria
Description: partial 16S ribosomal RNA
Rfam family: Bacterial small subunit ribosomal RNA
Source: RNAcentral